GAUGAACGCUGGCGGCGUGCUUAACACAUGCAAGUCGAACGGACAGGCCCUGCUUUUGUUUGUCGCUCGUGUGGCGAACGCGUGAGUAACACGUGAGUAACCUGCCCUUGACUUUCGGAUAAAUUCAGGAAACUGGGGCUAUUACCGCGUAUGAUCUCCUGCUGCACGGUGGGGGUUGGAAAGUUUCGGCGGUGUGGGCUGGACUCGCGGCUUCUCCGCUUGUUGGUGGGGUAGUGGCUUACAAAGGCUUUGACGGGUAGGCGGCCUGAGAGGGGGACCGGCGACAAGGGGACUGCGAGACGGCGCAGUCGGCUACGGGAGGCAGCGGGGGGGAAUAUGGCACAACGGGGGGAAGCCUGAUGCGGCAGCGCCGCGUGCGUGAUGACGGGCUACGGGGGGUAAACCGCUUUGGACGGUGACGAAGCGUGAGUGACGGUAAUGGGUAAAGAAGCACCGGCUAACUACGUG
RNAcentral lists this ribosomal RNA (468 nucleotides) under uncultured bacterium. RNAcentral's name for it is "partial 16S ribosomal RNA". It matches the Rfam family "Bacterial small subunit ribosomal RNA", at positions 28 to 507 of the family's 1533-position model. The record is from RNAcentral.